This 73-nucleotide transfer RNA is filed under the name Gammarus komareki. RNAcentral's name for it is "tRNA-Val". The record is from RNAcentral. Lineage: Eukaryota; Metazoa; Arthropoda; Malacostraca; Amphipoda; Gammaridae.
GGCGGUUUAAAUUUUCAUUUACACUGAGAGAUACCAGGUAUGGCGCCCUUAGAAAUUGUUAUAGUACAAACAA